CCUCCAGUGAAGGGUCUUCAGAAUAGAAGUUCUGCUGCAGCAGCUUAAAACAUCUCAGGCCUUUGCACUCUGGUCUUAUCUGAGUUUGGCAUCAUUAACUGCCAAUCUGGAGAGUUGACAGUAUGUGGCCGGUCCUUUUUGAAGAGCCUCUGCGUGCCUCUCAUUAAUGGAACAAAUAGAAUCAGCUCUCGCCCUUACUAAAGAAUAGCUCCUUUCCGAUGGUUUCAAGUUUGUUAUUGCCUGU
Choloepus didactylus (southern two-toed sloth) is the source of this 244-nucleotide long non-coding RNA. RefSeq lists it as uncharacterized. The record is from RefSeq and is a predicted model, not a curated record. The transcript has 3 exons. NCBI's taxonomy places the organism in Eukaryota, Metazoa, Chordata, Mammalia, Pilosa, Megalonychidae.